UUGACCUCGGAUCAGGUAGGAAUACCCGCUGAACUUAAGCAUAUCAAUAAGCGGAGGAAAAGAAACCAACAGGGAUUGCCUCAGUAACGGCGAGUGAAGCGGCAACAGCUCAAAUUUGAAAUCUGGCCUCACGGUCCGAGUUGUAAUUUGUAGAGGAUGCUUUUGGCGAGGUGCUUUCCGAGUUCCCUGGAACGGGACGCCAUAGAGGGUGAGAGCCCCGUACGGUAAGACCACCGAGCCUCUGUAAAGCUCCUUCGACGAGUCGAGUAGUUUGGGAAUGCUGCUCUAAAUGGGAGGUGUACGUCUUCUAAAGCUAAAUACCGGCCAGAGACCGAUAGCGCACAAGUAGAGUGAUCGAAAGAUGAAAAGCACUUUGAAAAGAGGGUUAAAAAGUACGUGAAAUUGUUGAAAGGGAAGCAUUCAUGACCAGACUUGGGCUUGGUUGAACAUCCGGCGUUCUCGCCGGUGCACUCUGCCAGUCCAGGCCAGCAUCAGUUUGCCCCGGGGGACAAAGGCGGUGGGAAUGUGGCUCUCUUCGGGGAGUGUUAUAGCCCGCCGUGUAAUGCCCUGGGGCGGACUGAGGAACGCG
RNAcentral lists this ribosomal RNA (589 nucleotides) under Sarocladium strictum. RNAcentral's name for it is "eukaryotic LSU rRNA". It matches the Rfam family "Eukaryotic large subunit ribosomal RNA", at positions 1 to 599 of the family's 3401-position model. The record is from RNAcentral. Lineage: Eukaryota; Fungi; Ascomycota; Sordariomycetes; Hypocreales; Sarocladiaceae.